GAUCAGUAAGUGAAAUUUUUGAGAAAUUCAUGAGAAGCUCCAACCUCCCUGAAGUAACUAGAAGACAUUCUGCUAGAUGAAUGCCAAAUUUGUAUGAAUCUAUUCCGAACAGAGACUUUGUAUCUUGCUGUGGGAUGGGUGACUGACAGAUGAUCCAGGACAAAAAAAAAGCAAGUUGACGGUUGCCUGAGUCUGGAAGCCAUCAAGGUCUGAGACUGUGUGUGUUUGUGAAAGAAAGACAUAACAUCUUAACAAGAAGGAAAAGAACAACCAAAGAUUGUCCCAUGGACAUUAAGAGGACAGGACACAGACACACAGAGAAGAUAUAACAGAAGGGCAGCUGCUGAAUUAUCACUGGAUUUGUAUGGAUAGUUUCUCAAUACUGCUAAGAGAAACAAGAUAGAGGUUUUGUAAGAACAUGUUUCAUAACCUGUAAAAGAUGAACUCAUGGAAAGGUGCUAGAUGUUCCAAAUUUAUAAAAACGCAUGAAAUAUAAAAUAAAUACAGUUUAGA
Long non-coding RNA from Tachysurus fulvidraco (yellow catfish), 513 nucleotides. RefSeq lists it as uncharacterized. The record is from RefSeq and is a predicted model, not a curated record. The transcript is spliced from 4 exons. Lineage: Eukaryota; Metazoa; Chordata; Actinopteri; Siluriformes; Bagridae.